CCUACGGGAGGCAGCAGUGAGGAAUAUUGGUCAAUGGCCGGAAGGCUGAACCAGCCAAGCCGCGUGAAGGACGAAGGUGCCAAGCAUUGUAAACUUCUUUUGUCAAGGGACAAAAUCAGGCUCGAGAGCCUGACCGAGGGUACUUGAAGAAAAAGCAUCGGCUAACUCCGUGCCAGCAGCCGCGGUAAUACGGAGGAUGCGAGCGUUAUCCGGAUUUAUUGGGUUUAAAGGGUGCGUAGGCGGACUGUUAAGUCAGCGGUAAAAGCCCGGGGCUCAACCCCGGCGGGCCGGGGAAACGGGGGGUAUGGAGGUGUCGGGAGGUAUGCGGAAUGCGGGGUGUAGGGGUGAAAUGCUGAGAUAGUGCGCAGAACUCCGAUUGGGAAGGAAGCAUACCGGAGGCGAUCUGACGCUGAGGCACGAAGGCGGGGGUAUCGAACAGGAUUAGAUACCCCAGUAGUC
Molecule: ribosomal RNA, 459 nt
Filed under: uncultured bacterium
Lineage: Bacteria
Description: partial 16S ribosomal RNA
Rfam family: Bacterial small subunit ribosomal RNA
Source: RNAcentral